AACUCCCAACCCCUGUGACAUACCACUUGUUGCCUCGGCGGAUCAGCCCGCUCCCGGUAAAACGGGACGGCCCGCCAGAGGACCCCUAAACUCUGUUUCUAUAUGUAACUUCUGAGUAAAACCAUAAAUAAAUCAAAACUUUCAACAACGGAUCUCUUGGUUCUGGCAUCGAUGAAGAACGCAGCAAAAUGCGAUAAGUAAUGUGAAUUGCAGAAUUCAGUGAAUCAUCGAAUCUUUGAACGCACAUUGCGCCCGCCAGUAUUCUGGCGGGCAUGCCUGUUCGAGCGUCAUUUCAACCCUCAAGCACAGCUUGGUGUUGGGACUCGCGUUAAUUCGCGUUCCCCAAAUUGAUUGGCGGUCACGUCGAGCUUCCAUAGCGUAGUAGUAAAACCCUCGUUACUGGUAAUCGUCGCGGCCACGCCGUUAAACCCCAACUUCUGAAUGUUGACCUCGGAUCAGGUAGGAAUACCCGCUGAACUUAAGCAUAUCAAUAAGCGGAGGGAAAAGAA
RNAcentral lists this ribosomal RNA (509 nucleotides) under Fusarium oxysporum. RNAcentral describes it as "eukaryotic LSU rRNA". The stretch from base 137 to 290 matches the Rfam family "5.8S ribosomal RNA". The record is from RNAcentral. Lineage: Eukaryota; Fungi; Ascomycota; Sordariomycetes; Hypocreales; Nectriaceae.